Molecule: ribosomal RNA, 500 nt
Filed under: uncultured bacterium
Lineage: Bacteria
Description: partial 16S ribosomal RNA
Rfam family: Bacterial small subunit ribosomal RNA
Source: RNAcentral
AUUGAACGCUGGCGGAAUGCUUUACACAUGCAAGUCGAACGGCAGCACGGACUUCGGUCUGGUGGCGAGUGGCGAACGGGUGAGUAAUAUAUCGGAACGUGCCCAGUCGUGGGGGAUAACGUAGUGAAAAUUACGCUAAUACCGCAUACGAUCUACGGAUGAAAGCGGGGGAUCGCAGGACCUCGCGCGAUUGGAGCGGCCGAUAUCAGAUUAGGUAGUUGGUGAGGUAAAGGCUCACCAAGCCGACGAUCUGUAGCUGGUCUGAGAGGACGACCAGCCACACUGGGACUGAGACACGGCCCAGACUCCUACGGGAGGCAGCAGUGGGGAAUUUUGGACAAUGGACGCAAGUCUGAUCCAGCCAUUCCGCGUGCAGGACGAAGGCCUUCGGGUUGUAAACUGCUUUUGUACAGAACGAAAAGGUCUCUAUUAAUAUUGGGGGCUCAUGACGGUACUGUAAGAAUAAGCACCGGCUAACUACGUGCCAGCAGCCGCAGUAA